UACGGGGGGAGCAAGCGUUGUUCGGAUUACUGGGCGUAAAGAGCGCGCAGGCGGUCGGAUAAGUCGAAUGUGAAAGCCCCCGGCUUAACUGGGGAGGGUCAUUCGAUACUGUUCGACUGGAAGGCAGGAGAGGGAAGCGGAAUUCCCGGUGUAGUGGUGAAAUGCGUAGAUAUCAGGAGGAACACCAAUAGCGAAGGCAGCUCGCUGGGACGUUACUGACACUGAGGCGCGAAAGCGUGGGGAGCGAACAGG
RNAcentral lists this ribosomal RNA (252 nucleotides) under uncultured bacterium. RNAcentral's name for it is "partial 16S ribosomal RNA". It matches the Rfam family "Bacterial small subunit ribosomal RNA", at positions 524 to 776 of the family's 1533-position model. The record is from RNAcentral.